CCAGGAAGCAAGUGGGAGGAACGGGCUUCAGGGAGAAGGGGACGCAAGGCCAAGCCUGGGUCCAUGGGACAUGCCACACCCGCCACAUCUGCUUUAUCCCUACUUCGCAUCCUAGCCCGAGUCUAGAGUGCAUGGACACUCAGGAGUUCCGAGUUGCGCCAAAAAUACCUCCAGAGCCCCGUGUGGCUAAGAAUGCUAAGCUCUGGCCAACGUUGAGCCUCCCCUUUGUAACAGCCGGCACCCAAUUUGCUUUAUAUGGUCAUGAGCCCUCUUACCUGCAGCAUCAAAUGGGAGGCAUGAAGCCACGAUAAAGAACAAGCAAAGUGAGCUCCGUGAACGGGCUUUCCCAGGCUGCCUUCUGCACACAUGAGCCUACCCAGAGGGGACACAGAACAGGGAUGAGGCCUCUUGCAUCUGUGGGGGCUAUGAAGACAAAUGUUAUGUGUACCUAAAACUAAACCAGCACUCACUGCUUCCAGGAAGAGUUGGAAUAAAAAGGAAGGAGAAACUCACCGGAAAUGAAACUCAAAGGCCAGGAGUGAGGGCGGUUACCCGCCACACUCCUGUGAGAGCCUACCCAUCAUGGCGAAGCUGGAGAGUGGGCAGAUCCUUUCCCAGAGCCCCUCCAAGUCACCUUGGAGAUACCAUCAGACUUCCCUCUUUUCUUCAGAUUUCUUCAACCACUCCACAGACAUAUUUAAAGCACCUGCCACAGCUGUCUGAGUCUGAAGCCAGAAUACAGGCGACAUGUAAGAAUAAUGCCAAGGACAGGAGAGGAUGGGGCGGCCGAGGAGAAGCACCACGUUACCCUCAAGCCCUACCCUGUGGGCAGCUGUCCCCACCCCGGCUGUGCUUGUGGAGAUAUCUCCGUGUGGCCAAACCACAAGGCCCCCAUUUGGAGGAUCCCAUUUUCUAACCACCUUGGCCCAACAUCAAUAACAACAUUGCCCCAUAAGAAGCCGCGAGGCAUUUCCUCAGGGAACCACCAGCGCCAGGGCUCAAAGACCAAGUCCAGACACUAGGAACUCCCCUCAGGAGUGUAAAACCGAGUUCAGAAAUAAGAAAAACAAAGUUUCCAGCCCAAGUCUCCUCCAUGGGAGACACCCUCAGCGCCCCUCCUCACAGCUGCUAGGCCUCCUCCUCGGGCCGGCCCCUCAUUAGGAACUAACAGUCCCAGCCAUGCCAGCCUCCAGGCCUCCUUGUUAACUCCUUGGUUUCCCUUAGUGCUGCCAGGAGAAAAUUAGGCCUCAGAAAUCCUGAGCAGUACUGAGAGGCAGAGAGCACCUACCACAGAUGGUUAAUGGUGUGUACAUUCUAUGGUUUCUCUUAAUAAACCAAAUUAAUAAUAAUUGCUGCCAUUUAUAGAGUGCCUCUUAUGCUUUACCCACUUGCAUUAUGAACUCUUCUGCAGCCUCUCAUGUUUGCAACAACACUAGAAGGUAGGAAUUUCUUCGCCUAUCCUAUAAAUGAGAGCAUGGAGGCUGUGUAGCUGGCAAGCAGAUGUGUGGUUUAAACUCAGCUCUGUUCUGUUUUUCGCCCACCUUAUUACUUACUUUGAGCAAAACUGGAUUCUAAAAUGUGCAGAUUAAAGAGCUGACCACUACCCUUGCAUCGUCCAUCUGCAGAAGUUUUACAUCUUUUUCUUUUCCUUUUUUUUUUUUGAGAUGGAGUCUCACUCUGUCUUCCAGGCUGGAGUGCAGUGGUGUGAUCUCAGCUCACUGCAACCUCCACCUCCUAGGUUCAAGUGAUUCUCCUGCCUCAGCCUCCAGAGUAGCUGGGAUGACAGGUGCCUGCCACCAUGCCCGACUGAUUUUUGUAUUUUUAGUA
This 1827-nucleotide long non-coding RNA is filed under the name Homo sapiens (human). RNAcentral's name for it is "HSALNT0111202". The record is from RNAcentral. Lineage: Eukaryota; Metazoa; Chordata; Mammalia; Primates; Hominidae.